Molecule: ribosomal RNA, 441 nt
Filed under: uncultured bacterium
Lineage: Bacteria
Description: partial 16S ribosomal RNA
Rfam family: Bacterial small subunit ribosomal RNA
Source: RNAcentral
CCUACGGGCGGCAGCAGUGGGGGAUAUUGCACAAUGGGGGGAACCCUGAUGCAGCGACGCCGCGUGGGUGAAGGAGUAUUUCGGUAUGUAAAGCCCUAUCGGCAGGGAAGAAGCAAGACGGUACCUGACUAAGAAGCCCCGGCUAACUACGUGCCAGCAGCCGCGGUAAUACGUAGGGGGCGAGCGUUAUCCGGAUCCACUGGGUGUAAAGGGAGCGCAGACGGCCAUGCAAGCCAGGGGUGAAAGCCCGGGGCCCAACCCCGGGACUGCCCUUGGAACUGCAUGGCUGGAGUGCGGGAGGGGCAGGCGGAAUUCCUGGUGUAGCGGUGAAAUGCGUAGAUAUCAGGAGGAACACCGGUGGCGAAGGCGGCCUGCUGGACUGUGACUGACGUUGAGGCCCGAAGGCGUGGGGAGCAAACAGGAUUAGAUACCCCAGUAGUC